GUAGGACACUCUAUACGGAGUUACAAAGGACGACAUUAGACGAAUCAUCUGGAAAGAUGAAUCAAAGAAGGUAAUAAUCCUGUAGUCGAAAAUGUUGUCUCUCUUGAGUGGAUCCUGAGUACGACGGAGCACGUGAAAUUCCGUCGGAAUCUGGGAGGACCAUCUCCUAAGGCUAAAUACUCUCUAGUGACCGAUAGUGAACCAGUACCGUGAGGGAAAGGUGAAAAGCACCCCGGAAGGGGAGUGAAAUAGAACCUGAAACCGUGUGCUUACAAGUAGUCAGAGCCCGUUAAUGGGUGAUGGCGUGCCUUUUGUAGAAUGAACCGGCGAGUUACGAUUUGAUGCAAGGUUAAGCAGUAAAUGUGGAGCCGUAGCGAAAGCGAGUCUGAAUAGGGCGUUUAGUAUUUGGUCGUAGACCCGAAACCAGGUGAUCUACCCUUGGUCAGGUUGAAGUUCAGGUAACACUGAAUGGAGGACCGAACCGACUUACGUUGAAAAGUGAGCGGAUGAACUGAGGGUAGCGGAGAAAUUCCAAUCGAACCUGGAGAUAGCUGGUUCUCUCCGAAAUAGCUUUAGGGCUAGCCUCAAGUGAUGAUUAUUGGAGGUAGAGCACUGUUUGGACGAGGGGCCCCUCUCGGGUUACCGAAUUCAGACAAACUCCGAAUGCCAAUUAAUUUAACUUGGGAGUCAGAACAUGGGUGAUAAGGUCCGUGUUCGAAAGGGAAACAGCCCAGACCACCAGCUAAGGUCCCAAAAUAUAUGUUAAGUGGAAAAGGAUGUGGCGUUGCCCAGACAACUAGGAUGUUGGCUUAGAAGCAGCCAUCAUUUAAAGAGUGCGUAAUAGCUCACUAGUCGAGUGACACUGCGCCGAAAAUGUACCGGGGCUAAACAUAUUACCGAAGCUGUGGAUUGUCCUUUGGACAAUGGUAGGAGAGCGUUCUAAGGGCGUUGAAGCAUGAUCGUAAGGACAUGUGGAGCGCUUAGAAGUGAGAAUGCCGGUGUGAGUAGCGAAAGACGGGUGAGAAUCCCGUCCACCGAUUGACUAAGGUUUCCAGAGGAAGGCUCGUCCGCUCUGGGUUAGUCGGGUCCUAAGCUGAGGCCGACAGGCGUAGGCGAUGGAUAACAGGUUGAUAUUCCUGUACCACCUAUAAUCGUUUUAAUCGAUGGGGGGACGCAGUAGGAUAGGCGAAGCGUGCGAUUGGAUUGCACGUCUAAGCAGUAAGGCUGAGUAUUAGGCAAAUCCGGUACUCGUUAAGGCUGAGCUGUGAUGGGGAGAAGACAUUGUGUCUUCGAGUCGUUGAUUUCACACUGCCGAGAAAAGCCUCUAGAUAGAAAAUAGGUGCCCGUACCGCAAACCGACACAGGUAGUCAAGAUGAGAAUUCUAAGGUGAGCGAGCGAACUCUCGUUAAGGAACUCGGCAAAAUGACCCCGUAACUUCGGGAGAAGGGGUGCUCUUUAGGGUUAACGCCCAGAAGAGCCGCAGUGAAUAGGCCCAAGCGACUGUUUAUCAAAAACACAGGUCUCUGCUAAACCGUAAGGUGAUGUAUAGGGGCUGACGCCUGCCCGGUGCUGGAAGGUUAAGAGGAGUGGUUAGCUUCUGCGAAGCUACGAAUCGAAGCCCCAGUAAACGGCGGCCGUAACUAUAACGGUCCUAAGGUAGCGAAAUUCCUUGUCGGGUAAGUUCCGACCCGCACGAAAGGCGUAACGAUUUGGGCACUGUCUCAACGAGAGACUCGGUGAAAUCAUAGUACCUGUGAAGAUGCAGGUUACCCGCGACAGGACGGAAAGACCCCGUGGAGCUUUACUGUAGCCUGAUAUUGAAAUUCGGCACAGCUUGUACAGGAUAGGUAGGAGCCUUUGAAACGUGAGCGCUAGCUUACGUGGAGGCGCUGGUGGGAUACUACCCUAGCUGUGUUGGCUUUCUAACCCGCACCACUUAUCGUGGUGGGAGACAGUGUCAGGCGGGCAGUUUGACUGGGGCGGUCGCCUCCUAAAAGGUAACGGAGGCGCUCAAAGGUUCCCUCAGAAUGGUUGGAAAUCAUUCAUAGAGUGUAAAGGCAUAAGGGAGCUUGACUGCGAGACCUACAAGUCGAGCAGGGUCGAAAGACGGACUUAGUGAUCCGGUGGUUCCGCAUGGAAGGGCCAUCGCUCAACGGAUAAAAGCUACCCCGGGGAUAACAGGCUUAUCUCCCCCAAGAGUUCACAUCGACGGGGAGGUUUGGCACCUCGAUGUCGGCUCAUCGCAUCCUGGGGCUGUAGUCGGUCCCAAGGGUUGGGCUGUUCGCCCAUUAAAGCGGUACGCGAGCUGGGUUCAGAACGUCGUGAGACAGUUCGGUCCCUAUCCGUCGUGGGCGUAGGAAAUUUGAGAGGAGCUGUCCUUAGUACGAGAGGACCGGGAUGGACAUACCUCUGGUGUACCAGUUGUCGU
This 2429-nucleotide ribosomal RNA is filed under the name Staphylococcus aureus. RNAcentral's name for it is "partial 23S ribosomal RNA". It matches the Rfam family "Bacterial large subunit ribosomal RNA", at positions 296 to 2727 of the family's 2925-position model. Lineage: Bacteria; Bacillati; Bacillota; Bacilli; Caryophanales; Staphylococcaceae. The record is from RNAcentral.